UCGAACGAUGAAGCCCUUCGGGGUGGAUUAGUGGCGAACGGGUGAGUAACACGUGGGCAAUCUGCCCUUCACUCUGGGACAAGCCCUGGAAACGGGGUCUAAUACCGGAUAAUACUCCUGCCUGCAUGGGCGGGGGUUAAAAGCUCCGGCGGUGAAGGAUGAGCCCGCGGCCUAUCAGCUUGUUGGUGGGGUAAUGGCCCACCAAGGCGACGACGGGUAGCCGGCCUGAGAGGGCGACCGGCCACACUGGGACUGAGACACGGCCCAGACUCCUACGGGAGGCAGCAGUGGGGAAUAUUGCACAAUGGGCGAAAGCCUGAUGCAGCGACGCCGCGUGAGGGAUGACGGCCUUCGGGUUGUAAACCUCUUUCAGCAGGGAAGAAGCGAAAGUGACGGUACCUGCAGAAGAAGCGCCGGCUAACUACGUGCCAGCAGCCGCGGUAAUACGUAGGGCGCAAGCGUUGUCCGGAAUUAUUGGGCGUAAAGAGCUCGUAGGCGGCUUGUCACGUCGGAUGUGAAAGCCCGAGGCUUAACCUCGGGUCUGCAUUCGAUACGGGCUAGCUAGAGUGUGGUAGGGGAGAUCGGAAUUCCUGGUGUAGCG
This 601-nucleotide ribosomal RNA is filed under the name Streptomyces lavendulae. Its description in RNAcentral is "bacterial SSU rRNA". It matches the Rfam family "Bacterial small subunit ribosomal RNA", at positions 62 to 680 of the family's 1533-position model. The record is from RNAcentral. Lineage: Bacteria; Bacillati; Actinomycetota; Actinomycetes; Kitasatosporales; Streptomycetaceae.